CGCGCAGGCGGCCAGGUCAGUCGAAUGUGAAAGCCCCCGGCUCAACUGGGGAGGGUCAUUCGAUACUGCCUGGCCUGAAGAUAGGAGAGGGAAGUGGAAUUUCAGGUGUAGUGGUGAAAUGCGUAGAUAUCUGAAGGAACACCAGUGGCGAAGGCGACUUUCUGGCCUAUUCUUGACGCUGAGGCGCGAAAGCUAGGGGAGCGAACG
RNAcentral lists this ribosomal RNA (207 nucleotides) under uncultured bacterium. RNAcentral describes it as "partial 16S ribosomal RNA". It matches the Rfam family "Bacterial small subunit ribosomal RNA", at positions 568 to 774 of the family's 1533-position model. The record is from RNAcentral.